UAUUAGGAGUAUAAUGGUUAAAAUGCUGGAUUCCAAAGCCAGAGGGCCUGGGUUCAAAUCCCAACUUAGUAG
RNAcentral lists this transfer RNA (72 nucleotides) under Loxodonta africana (African savanna elephant). It matches the Rfam family "tRNA". From Rfam's summary of the family: Transfer RNA (tRNA) molecules are approximately 80 nucleotides in length. Their secondary structure includes four short double-helical elements and three loops (D, anti-codon, and T loops). Further hydrogen bonds mediate the characteristic L-shaped molecular structure. tRNAs have two regions of fundamental functional importance: the anti-codon, which is responsible for specific mRNA codon recognition, and the 3' end, to which the tRNAs corresponding amino acid is attached (by aminoacyl-tRNA synthetases). tRNAs cope with the degeneracy of the genetic code in two manners: having more than one tRNA (with a specific anti-codon) for a particular amino acid; and 'wobble' base-pairing, i.e. permitting non-standard base-pairing at the 3rd anti-codon position. Lineage: Eukaryota; Metazoa; Chordata; Mammalia; Proboscidea; Elephantidae. The record is from Rfam by way of RNAcentral.